This 472-nucleotide ribosomal RNA is filed under the name uncultured organism. RNAcentral's name for it is "partial 16S ribosomal RNA". It matches the Rfam family "Bacterial small subunit ribosomal RNA", at positions 334 to 797 of the family's 1533-position model. The record is from RNAcentral.
CACUCCUGCGGGAGGCAGCAGUGGGGAAUUUUGGACAAUGGGCGAAAGCCUGAUCCAGCAAUGCCGCGUGCAGGAUGAAGGCCUUCGGGUUGUAAACUGCUUUUGUACGGAACGAAAAAGCUCCUUCUAAUACAGGGGGCCCAUGACGGUACCGUAAGAAUAAGCACCGGCUAACUACGUGCCAGCAGCCGCGGUAAUACGUAGGGUGCGAGCGUUAAUCGGAAUUACUGGGCGUAAAGCGUGCGCAGGCGGUUAUGUAAGACAGAUGUGAAAUCCCCGGGCUCAACCUGGGAACUGCAUUUGUGACUGCAUGGCUAGAGUACGGUAGAGGGGGAUGGAAUUCCGCGUGUAGCAGUGAAAUGCGUAGAUAUGCGGAGGAACACCGAUGGCGAAGGCAAUCCCCUGGACCUGUACUGACGCUCAUGCACGAAAGCGUGGGGAGCAAACAGGAUUAGAUACCCGUGUAGUCCCA